Molecule: ribosomal RNA, 497 nt
Filed under: uncultured bacterium
Lineage: Bacteria
Description: partial 16S ribosomal RNA
Rfam family: Bacterial small subunit ribosomal RNA
Source: RNAcentral
GAUGAACGCUGGCGGCGUGCCUAAUACAUGCAAGUCGAGCGAACAGACGAGGAGCUUGCUCCUCUGACGUUAUCGGCGGACGGGUGAGUAACACGUGGAUAACCUACCUAUAAGACUGGGAUAACUUCGGGAAACCGGAGCUAAUACCGGAUAAUAUAUUGAACCGCAUGGUUCAAUAGUGAAAGACGGUUUUGCUGUCACUUAUAGAUGGAUCCGCGCCGCAUUAGCUAGUUGGUAAGGUAACGGCUUACCAAGGCAACGAUGCGUAGCCGACCUGAGAGGGUGAUCGGCCACACUGGAACUGAGACACGGUCCAGACUCCUACGGGAGGCAGCAGUAGGGAAUCUUCCGCAAUGGGCGAAAGCUUGACGGAGCAACGCCGCGUGAGUGAUGAAGGUCUUCGGAUCGUAAAACUCUGUUAUUAGGGAAGAACAAAUGUGUAAGUAACUAUGCACGUCUUGACGGUACCUAAUCAGAAAGCCACGGCUAACUACGUG